RNAcentral lists this transfer RNA (82 nucleotides) under Echinostoma caproni. It matches the Rfam family "tRNA". From Rfam's summary of the family: Transfer RNA (tRNA) molecules are approximately 80 nucleotides in length. Their secondary structure includes four short double-helical elements and three loops (D, anti-codon, and T loops). Lineage: Eukaryota; Metazoa; Platyhelminthes; Trematoda; Plagiorchiida; Echinostomatidae. The record is from Rfam by way of RNAcentral.
GGCCUCGCAGCUCAGCUGGUAGAGCGUGCGCUUACAACGAGUAGGAGGCGUCCAUGCGUGGGUUCGAAUCUCACCGCGGCUA